GUCUGGGAAACUGCCCGAUGGAGGGGGAUAACUACUGGAAACGGUAGCUAAUACCGCAUAACGUCGCAAGACCAAAGAGGGGGACCUUAGGGCCUCUUGCCAUCGGAUGUGCCCAGAUGGGAUUAGCUAGUAGGUGGGGUAACGGCUCACCUAGGCGACGAUCCCUAGCUGGUCUGAGAGGAUGACCAGCCACACUGGAACUGAGACACGGUCCAGACUCCUACGGGAGGCAGCAGUGGGGAAUAUUGCACAAUGGGCGCAAGCCUGAUGCAGCCAUGCCGCGUGUAUGAAGAAGGCCUUCGGGUUGUAAAGUACUUUCAGCGGGGAGGAAGGGAGUAAAGUUAAUACCUUUGCUCAUUGACGUUACCCGCAGAAGAAGCACCGGCUAACUCCGUGCCAGCAGCCGCGGUAAUACGGAGGGUGCAAGCGUUAAUCGGAAUUACUGGGCGUAAAGCGCACGCAGGCGGUUUGU
Molecule: ribosomal RNA, 472 nt
Filed under: Escherichia coli
Lineage: Bacteria; Pseudomonadati; Pseudomonadota; Gammaproteobacteria; Enterobacterales; Enterobacteriaceae
Description: bacterial SSU rRNA
Rfam family: Bacterial small subunit ribosomal RNA
Source: RNAcentral